RNAcentral lists this ribosomal RNA (451 nucleotides) under uncultured bacterium. RNAcentral describes it as "partial 16S ribosomal RNA". It matches the Rfam family "Bacterial small subunit ribosomal RNA", at positions 354 to 796 of the family's 1533-position model. The record is from RNAcentral.
GUGGGGAAUAUUGGACAAUGGGGGGAACCCUGAUCCAGCCAUGCCGCGUGUGUGAAGAAGGCCUUUUGGUCGUAAAGCACUUUAAGCGAGGAGGAGGCUACCGAGAUUAAUACUCUUGGAUAGUGGACGUUACUCGCAGAAUAAGCACCGGCUAACUCUGUGCCAGCAGCCGCGGUAAUACAGAGGGUGCAAGCGUUAAUCGGAUUUACUGGGCGUAAAGCGCGCGUAGGUGGCCAAUUAAGUCAAAUGUGAAAUCCCCGAGCUUAACUUGGGAAUUGCAUUCGAUACUGGUUGGCUAGAGUAUGGGAGAGGAUGGUAGAAUUCCAGGUGUAGCGGUGAAAUGCGUAGAGAUCUGGAGGAAUACCGAUGGCGAAGGCAGCCAUCUGGCCUAAUACUGACACUGAGGUGCGAAAGCAUGGGGAGCAAACAGGAUUAGAUACCCCUGUAGUCC